CAUUGUAUUAUAUUUUGAAAUUAAACAUUGUAUUAUAUUUUGAAAUUAAACAUUGUAUUAUAUUUUGAAAUUAUAUUAUAUUUUUAGUUGAAAGUAAAGGCACCUAUGACACUCUUCGAGCCAGCACAAAAUAUUGUUGAUAAUAUCCUAGCUGAGCAUGUGGAUAACAGAGAACCAGAGGCAUCCAGACCCAUUUAUUCGAACCUGCUUCGAUAUUGUAAUCGGUUCCGACAAAAAGAGAGACCAGCUGAUCCAACAGAUCUUGAUUUUGAGAUCAAUGAAGAGUUUUUGGCAACAGCUAUUCCGGAGGUGUUUUUACAGAAAGACAUACACACAAAAGAUGGCCGACACCUACUUUUUGCCACAGAGAAGCAAAUUGAACUUCUUGGAAAAGCUAAGACAUGGUAUAUAGAUGGUACUUUUAGAAUAGUAAACAAACCAUUUUACCAGCUAUUGUCAAUCCAUAGUUUUUUAAAAUCUGGUGAAAGUAUCAAGCAAGUUCCCUUGGCGUUUGUACUGAUGUCAGGAAAGUCUAAAAGAGACUACAAGAAGGUAUUCAAGGCCAUCAUGGAUAUGACACCAUCAGCCCCUGCAGUGCAGGCUUUUGUUGCAGAUUUUGAGGCAGGGAUCUGGCAGGCUUUAAGGUCAGUUUUCGACAACCCAAGUAUACAUGGCUGUGCGUUCCAUUGGGGUCAGGCGGUUUGGAGAAAGAUCCAAGAAAACGGACUUCAGACUGCUUACAGCCAGAAAGAUGCUGUAUAUAAGUUUUUUAGAAAAGUCCUUGCCUUGCCAUUCCUACCCGCUGAACAUAUAUUGCCAAAUGGUCUCAGAAGGAAAAUUAAGAAGACACCAGAAAAAACAAUCACGAACUACACAAAGCAAGUUAUUUCAACUUUGGAAUUUAUAUACCAGUCAGGAAAUAAGCACCAACCAGCUACUAAAAAGAUGUGGGGGGAUAUAUGGACCGAACUGAAGGACAGACUUACGUAAUAAAUGACUGACUGAACGACAAACUGACAGACUAAAUUACUAAAUGACUGGCCUAAUAAAAUGUAUUAGUUGAUGAUAUUGUUGAGGUUAUAAUAAAAUGUAUUAUUUAAUAAAUUGUUGAUGUAAUAAAUUCAUACAUAAAUGUAUUAUUUAAUAAAUUGUUGAUGUGAUAAAUUCAUACAUAAAUGUAUAAUUUAAUAAAUUGUUGAUGUAAUAAAUUCAUAUAUUAGUGAUUAUUUGUGGUAUUUAUUUGUAACUUGGAAUGAGUCGGGUGUUUUAAAAGUUGGGAUGAAUUGUCUUUUGACUUGGGAUGAGUUGUCUUUUGACUUGGGAUGAGUUGUCUUUAAA
Long non-coding RNA from Patella vulgata (common limpet), 1338 nucleotides. RefSeq lists it as uncharacterized. The transcript is spliced from 4 exons. Lineage: Eukaryota; Metazoa; Mollusca; Gastropoda; Patellidae. The record is from RefSeq and is a predicted model, not a curated record.